UCGAGCGAUUCGCCGAGGAGCGGGGCUUGACUCUCGAGGAGCUGGAGGAGAACCUGAGACGGAGCCGGCUCGAGUUCGAGUUGCUGCCGCCCGAG
RNAcentral lists this transfer RNA (95 nucleotides) under bacterium HR26. Its description in RNAcentral is "tRNA-Ser". The record is from RNAcentral.